RNAcentral lists this small nuclear RNA (23 nucleotides) under Arabidopsis thaliana (thale cress). RNAcentral describes it as "snRNA_01392". The record is from RNAcentral. Lineage: Eukaryota; Viridiplantae; Streptophyta; Magnoliopsida; Brassicales; Brassicaceae.
AAUUUACUAUCAACCAAUUUCAA